Molecule: ribosomal RNA, 465 nt
Filed under: uncultured bacterium
Lineage: Bacteria
Description: partial 16S ribosomal RNA
Rfam family: Bacterial small subunit ribosomal RNA
Source: RNAcentral
GACGAACGCUGGCGGCGUGCUUAACACAUGCAAGUCGAACGGUAAGGCCCUGCUUGCAGGGUACUCGAGUGGGGAACGGGUGAGUAACACGUGGGGGAUCUGCCCUUCGCUUCGGGAUAAGCCUGGGAAACUGGGUCUAAUACCGGAUAGGAACCAUUUUUAUUGUGAUGGUUGGAAAGUUGUUUCGGUGUAGGAUGAGCUCGCGGCCUAUCAGCUUGUUGGUGGGAUAAUGGCCUACCAAGGCGGCGACGGGUAGCCGGCCUCAGAGGGUGGACGGCCACAUUGGGACUGAGAGAAGGCCCCGACGCCAACGGGAGGCAGCAGUGGGGAAUAUUGAACAAUGGGCGCCAGCCGGAUGCAGCGACGCCGCGUGGGGGAUGACUGACUUCGGGUUGAAAAAUCAUUUCGCUAGGGACGAAGCUUUUUGUGACGGUACCUAGAUAAGAAGCAACGGCUAACUACGUG